This 412-nucleotide ribosomal RNA is filed under the name Phycisphaerales bacterium. RNAcentral describes it as "bacterial SSU rRNA". It matches the Rfam family "Bacterial small subunit ribosomal RNA", at positions 1119 to 1533 of the family's 1533-position model. The record is from RNAcentral. Lineage: Bacteria; Pseudomonadati; Planctomycetota; Phycisphaerae; Phycisphaerales.
UAACGCGUGAUGGCGAGGACUCUAGCGAGACUGCCGGUGUCAAACCGGAGGAAGGUGGGGAUGACGUCAAGUCCUCAUGGCCCUUAUGUCCAGGGAUGCAAACGUGCUACAAUGGCGUGGACAGAGCGACGCGAGACCGCGAGGUGGAGCAAAUCGCAAAAACCACGCCCCAGUUCGGAUUGCAGGCUGCAAUUCGCCUGCAUGAAGCCGGAAUCGCUAGUAAUCGCGUAUCAGCUACGACGCGGUGAAUACGUUCCUGAGCCUUGUACACACCGCCCGUCACGUCAUGGAAGCUGGCAGCGCCCGAAGUCACCUCAAAUCAGGGGUGCCUACGGCGAGGCUGGUAACUGGGACGAAGUCGUAACAAGGUAGCCGUAGGAGAACCUGCGGCUGGAUCACCUCCUUUCUAAGG